GCCCUCAUAGCUCAGUUGGUAGAGUGCAUCCAUGGUAAGGAUGAGGCCACCGGUUCAAUCCCGGUUGAGGGCUCCA
This 76-nucleotide transfer RNA is filed under the name Acetivibrio saccincola. RNAcentral describes it as "Hungateiclostridium saccincola tRNA-Thr". It matches the Rfam family "tRNA". From Rfam's summary of the family: Transfer RNA (tRNA) molecules are approximately 80 nucleotides in length. Their secondary structure includes four short double-helical elements and three loops (D, anti-codon, and T loops). RNAcentral also lists the same sequence under 1 other name. Lineage: Bacteria; Bacillati; Bacillota; Clostridia; Acetivibrionales; Acetivibrionaceae. The record is from RNAcentral.